GGGACCGUGGGGUAGCUUGGCAUCCUUCCAGCUUGGGGUGCUGGUAACCCGAGUUCAAAUCUCGGCGGUCCCA
Molecule: transfer RNA, 73 nt
Filed under: Thermoplasmata archaeon
Lineage: Archaea; Methanobacteriati; Thermoplasmatota; Thermoplasmata
Description: tRNA-Pro
Rfam family: tRNA
About the family: Transfer RNA (tRNA) molecules are approximately 80 nucleotides in length. Their secondary structure includes four short double-helical elements and three loops (D, anti-codon, and T loops).
Source: RNAcentral